This 1417-nucleotide long non-coding RNA is filed under the name Macaca mulatta (Rhesus monkey). Its description in RNAcentral is "lncRNA (ENSMMUG00000060872.1)". The record is from RNAcentral. Lineage: Eukaryota; Metazoa; Chordata; Mammalia; Primates; Cercopithecidae.
CUCUCCCGGGGUCCAGGACGCUUGACGUUUCGGAGGGUCGCGCGAUGGGGCUUGAAGAGAACAGCGGGAAAUCCCCAAAGCUGUGGCCCUGGGGCACGAUCCCUGUCCACCCUGUCGGACACCCCGAGGACCCCUAAAUUCCGAGGCUCGGGUGCCCAGUCCUCUGUCUUCUGCGUCGAGACGCGCCCGGAGCCCACCGGCCCAGCGGUUGCUACCUCCUGCAGGACGCGAAGCCUCUAGCGGCCUGACGGUGAUGGGGGGGGACCCACCUCUCCGCGCCCCCGCGUCCGGGGUCCCCGGCGCCGCGCAGCCUCGCGCCUGAGCGCCCCUCCGCCCCCGCGCGUCCUCCACGCUGGCAAGCAGGCGAGAAUCCAAGAAAAAGAAGCUGGAGAGAGUGGCGCACGAGAGAAACAGGGAGGAUUUUACCAAGGCUCCCGCAAACGCCAAGCGGAGGGGAGGCAGAGGUGCAGGAAUAGUCCCCGGGUGCCGGGGCUGCUGUCUGAUACUCUUCGGGGCUCCAAGACAGAGCCGGGUGAAAACCGGAGACCGUGAGCCCCGCCGAGGUCCGGAAACGUGGCCAGUUUCCCCUUCACCCGGGCGGCGGCGUUCACAGCGGGGGGGCGCCAGGGUGGAAGCCCCGGAGAGGGAAAGGUCCCCUGCACGCCCCCACGAGGUCACCGCUUCCCUAGCCUUAGGUGCCUGGCCUGGCGCAGCGCUCUGAGCGAGGCAGCCUUUUCCGGACGUCUCUCAGUCCCUGGUACAUUCCGGCAAGUGGCCCUGGAGGGAAAGCGCCCCCGCUGGCCCUUUUCUGUCAUACUCGAUUUUGUGGCCAAAAGGGGUCUCCUAAGCGCGCCAGGCCCCUGCGGUGGACUGGGGGUCGCCCCCGACGCGGUUCCUCUUGCUGUCUAGCCCUCUCCCGCGCAGAUCCGACCAACAGCGCCUUAUUUGGGCAUGCAACCCCACACCGUCAAUUAGAUCAAAACGCUCACACAGAGCUCCUUUCUCCCCCCCUUAAAGUAGGUCAUUCUCUUUAUUUCCUACUUGUAAAUUAUUUGUGUCUAAUUCUCCUCCUGAAAAAUAAUCAGCUGCAAGGAGCUUUGAGCAUCCUAAGAGCAGCUGUUAUUCUCAGGCUUGCUUCUGACUUGGAGGGCUUUUCAAGAAAGAGGAGGAGGCAUUUGGCCCGUCAUGGUUUUGAAGUCCCUCCGUUUCCAAAAGAAGAAACUUUUUUUUUUUUUGAUGUAUUUUAUUUUGUUUUGUUUUUCUACCCCAUCCUUUUCCUCCAGGCAAGUAGGUUUCACGCCGCCUUUAGAGCGUGGCCAUGACUAAUAUUACUAAAGGAUGAAAUUGCCUACUUCUAACCGGGUUUAAAGCAGAAUUUAAAGUCACCUCCCUUCCUUUUUUGCUUUGGAAGAGAUUC